This is a long non-coding RNA of Rhinopithecus roxellana (golden snub-nosed monkey), 557 nucleotides long. RefSeq lists it as uncharacterized. The record is from RefSeq and is a predicted model, not a curated record. The transcript has 3 exons. NCBI's taxonomy places the organism in Eukaryota, Metazoa, Chordata, Mammalia, Primates, Cercopithecidae.
CCACUCUUCCCUAAUCGCUGUUCAUUCCCCGGUGCGCUAUCCCGCCAAUGUCUGACCCCAGUUCAAUUUUAUCUCUAAACUUCAGAUUGAAAGGCAUGUACCUGAGUAGCUAUAUUUAAGGAAUUACAACCAAGAAGUCUCAUCUUCCCUGAUAUAGAGGAUAAGAUUCUGAACUUUGAAUUGAUGCCAUAAUGGGAUAACACUCUGGGGCCUUAGAAGGGGAGAACAAAGGCCAUAAAGGUGUUCAAGGGAAGCAAGCAAUAGACAGCAUUGGAUGGUGACAAACCUGUGGCUGGUUUGUGUAUGAUGGGAUGGAUUCCUCCUGCUCCCAGAAGGCACUGUCCUUUCAGUGUUCAGGGCAACCUUGCCUUAGUGCCUCAAACCCAUCCCUACCCCAUCCUGCAGUAAACUUGGAAAGGUAAUACCUCUAACCAAUCAGGUCUUCCUCUGAAGCACAGUCAAGUUGCUCUUGGCAACCAUCUCAAUUUUAAUAGUGCAGAUGCCAUGUGCUGUAAAGUCCUAAAAUUUAAAUUCUUUAUUUCUUGACAUCAUUGCCU